Molecule: long non-coding RNA, 379 nt
Organism: Carassius carassius (crucian carp)
Lineage: Eukaryota; Metazoa; Chordata; Actinopteri; Cypriniformes; Cyprinidae
Exons: 3
Source: RefSeq, a predicted model, not a curated record
GGCACCUCAGUGGGAAGUCUGUGGGAAGGAAAAAGUGUGGCAAAAAACGCUGCACAACGAGAAGAGGUUACCGGACCCUGAGGAAGAUUGUGGAGAAGGACCGAUUCCAGACCUUGGGGGACCUGCGGAAGCAGUGGACUGAGUCUGGAGUAGAAACAUCCAGAGCCACCGUGCACAGGCAUGUGCAGGAAAUGGGCUACAGAGAAGCAGCACUGGACUGUUGCUCAGUGGUCCAAAGUACUUUUUUCGGAUGAAAGCAAAUUUUGCAUGUCAUUCGGAAAUCAAGGUGCCAGAGUCUGGAGGAAGACUGGGGAGAAGGAAAUGCCAAAAUGCCUGAAGUCCAGUGUCAAGUACCCACAGUCAGUGAUGCUGGUGUUGG